This 252-nucleotide ribosomal RNA is filed under the name uncultured bacterium. RNAcentral's name for it is "partial 16S ribosomal RNA". It matches the Rfam family "Bacterial small subunit ribosomal RNA", at positions 524 to 776 of the family's 1533-position model. The record is from RNAcentral.
UACGUAGGGGGCUAGCGUUAUCCGGAAUUACUGGGCGUAAAGGGUGCGUAGGUGGUUUCUUAAGUCAGAGGUGAAAGGCUACGGCUCAACCGUAGUAAGCCUUUGAAACUGGGAGACUUGAGUGCAGGAGAGGAGAGUGGAAUUCCUAGUGUAGCGGUGAAAUGCGUAGAUAUUAGGAGGAACACCAGUUGCGAAGGCGGCUCUCUGGACUGUAACUGACACUGAGGCACGAAAGCGUGGGGAGCAAACAGG